RNAcentral lists this ribosomal RNA (458 nucleotides) under uncultured Latescibacterota bacterium. RNAcentral's name for it is "bacterial SSU rRNA". It matches the Rfam family "Bacterial small subunit ribosomal RNA", at positions 923 to 1382 of the family's 1533-position model. Lineage: Bacteria; Pseudomonadati; Candidatus Latescibacterota. The record is from RNAcentral.
GCACAAGCAGUGGAGUAUGUGGUUUAAUUCGAAGCAACGCGAAGAACCUUACCAGGGCUUGACAUCCCUUGAAGCAGCUAGAGAUAGCUGUGUCCUUCGGGACAAGGAGACAGGUGGUGCAUGGUUGUCAUCAGCUCGUGUCGUGAGAUGUUGGGUUAAGUCCCGCAACGAGCGCAACCCCUGUGGUUAGUUGCCAGCAAGUAGCGUUGGGCACUCUAGCCAGACCGCCGGUGAUAAACCGGAGGAAGGCGGGGAUGACGUCAAGUCCUCAUGGCCCUUACAUCCCGGGCUACACACGUGCUACAAUGGCAGGUACAGAGGGCUGCGAAGCCGCGAGGUGGAGCGAAUCCCAGAAAACCUGUCUCAGUCCGGAUUGAAGUCUGCAACUCGACUUCAUGAAGGCGGAAUCGCUAGUAACCGCGAAUCAGCAGGUCGCGGUGAAUACGUUCCCGGGCCUU